UGCUUACUUAAGAUAUGAUGUUGUUUA
RNAcentral lists this small RNA (27 nucleotides) under Bombyx mori (domestic silkworm). RNAcentral describes it as "ovarian small RNA-34263". The record is from RNAcentral. Lineage: Eukaryota; Metazoa; Arthropoda; Insecta; Lepidoptera; Bombycidae.